CACGAAGGUAAGAUAACGUCGAGAAAUCGGCGCUAAUACCUCAUAAUGCAGCGGAUCCGCAUGGAUAUGUUGUUAAAGGUUUACCGCCUUGGGAUAGGCUUGCGUCUGAUUAGCUAGUUGGUGUGGUAAUGGCACACCAAGGCUACGAUCAGUAACUGGUCUGAGAGGAUGAUCAGUCACACUGGAACUGAGACACGGUCCAGACUCCUACGGGAGGCAGCAGUGAGGAAUAUUGGGCAAUGCACGAAAGUGUGACCCAGCAACGCCGCGUGGAGGAUGAAGGUAUUCUAUAUCGUAAACUCCUGUGAGAGCAGACGAAAGACAGAUUAUUAAUUUGGAUGACUGUAUGCUCAGAGGAAGCCCCGGCUAACUACGUG
This 377-nucleotide ribosomal RNA is filed under the name uncultured bacterium. RNAcentral's name for it is "bacterial SSU rRNA". It matches the Rfam family "Bacterial small subunit ribosomal RNA", at positions 129 to 507 of the family's 1533-position model. The record is from RNAcentral.